Jaculus jaculus (lesser Egyptian jerboa) is the source of this 1580-nucleotide long non-coding RNA. RefSeq lists it as uncharacterized. The record is from RefSeq and is a predicted model, not a curated record. The transcript has 2 exons. Lineage: Eukaryota; Metazoa; Chordata; Mammalia; Rodentia; Dipodidae.
AGCGCGUGGCUCCGACUGGACUUUCCCGCGGGGGCGGGGGUGGAUGGGAGUGGUUAGGGGAGUAAAGUACUGUGUGUGUCUGUGUGUGUGUGUGUGUGUGUGUGUGUGAGAGAGAGAGAGAGAGAGAGAGAGAGAGAGAGGGAGAGAGAGAGAGAGAGAGAGAGAGAGAGAGAGAGGGAGAGAGAGGACCCUUUUUUGGCCCCCUUUCCAUCUUCUCGCUUCGCAGUCAGCUUAGGGCAACUCAAACUCGCCUAAGACCUCAGCGUGCCAGACUCCAAGCGGAGCUGGGGAAAUUUGGCUUCGUUUUCCUAAGGCUGGGGAAUGAGCUCCGGAGGUCAAUAAAGCCCUCCAAAAACGAUGAAUGAUUGAGCACCUGUGAUGAUGAUAGUGAUUACCAGAGCAAUUAAACAGUUUGAUUAAAUGAGCCAUCAUAACAAUGAUGUCUGCGGGAAAUCGGCCCUCACUUAUAAAGAAAGACAGUGUGGAGGGACGGGCAGAGGCGCCGGCGGCGCGCCGCGGGGACAGGGACCGAGGCCCGCGCAGGUUUGGCCCGAGUGACCGAAGCUGGGACUACGGGCUCCCGAGACUCCGGGAAGGAGAACGCGGAGCCUGAGGUUCCCGCAUCUGCCCGCUCCCAGCCUGCGCUAGCUCACCGGGCUGCUCCGCAAUGGGAAAGACCAGGAGGAUCCUUCACCCUCCACCUCCUUUUUUUUUUUUUUCUUAGAAGAAUUCCAAGACUAAAAAUAUCCUUCUCAUUUGAUGCUGAGUUGCUCGUCAAAAUGUAAGAAAAGGAUUCCCGCCAAGUCUGAUAGGAAAGACAAGACCACUUCUGCGCUAGCUUUAAGGAUGUUUUAGUUUCCCCACGACUAAAGCACUCUUCGUGAACCUUUGAAGAUAUUUAAGAUAGGUUUGUUUGGGCAUCUAAAGACGCUACAGACGCAAAGUUAGUUCGGCUUCAAGCCAUCAACCCCAGCAUUUUUUUUUUUAAAUCUAGCUUUCCCAUACUCAUACUUGCCUCGAAAAUAAACAUCAUAAAAAAAAAGUGCAAUGUAAAAGAAAGUUCGCAGCUUGCAUCUGUAGAUCUUCGUGCGCUCAGUUUAUAAACAUCUUCCCGGCAGGGUUUGCCCCUGACUGCCUCCCCACUCGCUCGACUCGACGGCGUCAUCGAGGGAUGCUGGGAUCGCCCCCAGAGAGCUGUGUUUACUUAGUUUUUUCUUUUUUUUAAUUCUCUCCGCUGUGUAUGACAAGUGUUAUUUGAAGAAAUUCAUCAGCCUUGUCCAGAUACUUGCAGUCCUGCAGUAAUGGUCUGCCGAGGAGAACCGCUGUCACAUUCUCACUUCCCAAGGUGUUGCGGGGACGCGGAGAGGGGGAGAGAGGCUGCAGCGCUUAAUUACCGAGGGGACGAGGGGGAGGGAAGCGGGGACGCGCCCGGGCACCGCGCUGAGAUGAGUUGCUAAAGGUAUGGUUACCUUUUUAAUUCUUUUUACACCCCCCCCCUCCACCACCACCCAAUGCCUUUGGGAAGAAGUGAUAUCCUUGUGGAACAAUUAGCUCAGACAAUAAAAAUAAUUGGAAAAUCA